This 253-nucleotide ribosomal RNA is filed under the name uncultured bacterium. RNAcentral's name for it is "partial 16S ribosomal RNA". It matches the Rfam family "Bacterial small subunit ribosomal RNA", at positions 524 to 776 of the family's 1533-position model. The record is from RNAcentral.
UACGGAGGGGGCUAGCGUUGUUCGGAAUUACUGGGCGUAGAGCGCACGUAGGCGGACUUGUAAGUCAGGGGUGAAAUCCCGAGGCUCAACCUCGGAACUGCCUUUGAUACUGCAAGUCUCGAGUCCGGAAGAGGUGAGUGGAACUGCGAGUGUAGAGGUGAAAUUCGUAGAUAUUCGCAAGAACACCAGUGGCGAAGGCGGCUCACUGGCCCGGUACUGACGCUGAGGUGCGAAAGCGUGGGGAGCAAACAGG